GGAAGGAUCAUUGAAUUAUUAAAAACCACUAUGUGAACCUCAACGUUUCAUGCCUUAGCUGCCGGCGGGGUAACCAUUUGCUUACCACUCGCAGCUGGUUCUGGCACUGCUGCCUGGAGCCAGUGGCGCUCUGGCAUGCCCUAUCACACCAUUGCCAACACCUAUUAAAACUAAACUCUGAAGCUACGACUGCUAGUAACUGGCGGUCUUAACCAAAGAUAACUCUCAACAACGGAUAUCUUGGCUCUCGCAACGAUGAAGAACGCAGCGAAAUGCGAUACGUAGUGUGAAUUGCAGAAUUCCGUGAACCAUCGAAUCUUUGAACGCAUAUUGCGCUCGAGCCUUCGGGCAAGAGCAUGUCUGCCUCAGCGUCGGUUUAUACCAUCACCCCUCCCAUUUAUGGGUCCGUUAACUCAGUGUUAACCAUAGGAGUGGAUCUGGCUUCCCCAAACCAUUGCUCAACGGAUUGGGUUAGCUGAAGCACAGAGGCUUAAACAAGGACCCGAUAAGGGCUUCAACUGGAUAGGUAGUAUCGGCUUUUGCCGCCUACACGAAGUUGUAGCUUGUGGACUUUGUUAGGGGCCAAGCAGGAAACAUGUUCACUACAUGUCUAAACUUUCGACCUGAGCUCAGGCAAGGCUACCCGCUGAACUUAAGCAUAUCAAUAAGCGGAGGAAAAGAAACUAACAAGGAUGCGCUUAGUAACGGCGAGCGAACCGCGCAAAGCCCAACUUGAAAAUCUCCCUUGGAGAAUUGUAGUCUAUAGAAGUACCCUCUGCAACGGGCUGAGCUAAAGUCUCCUGGAAAGGAGCGUCAGAGAGGGUGAGAACCCCGUAAGCUCACGCUUUGUUGCCUCACGAGGUGCUUUCAAAGAGUCGGGUUGCUUGGGAAUGCAGCCCAAAUUUGGUGGUAAAUCCCAUCUAAGGCUAAAUAUUGGCGAGAGACCGAUAGCGAACAAGUACCGUGAGGGAAAGAUGAAAAGAACUUUGAAAAGAGAGUUAAAAAGUGCUUGAAAUUGUUGAGGGGGAAGCGUUUGAAUGCUAGGGUGCGCCUAGGCUUAUGGGUCCUUAACGGGGCUCUGUAUGUGCUAGGUGCUGGCCAGCAUGGGUUAGGCUAGUGGGAUAAAAGCUGGGGUUGAUACCCGGUCUAUGCCACUGGCUUGACCAAGGCGUGAAGACUGCCCUUGUCCUUCGGGAACUGCAGUCUCAAGAUGCUGGCAAAAGGCUUUCAACCGACCCGUCUUGAAACACGGACCAAGGAGUCUAACAUGUAUGCGAGUUGGUGGGUGGAAAACCCAUGAAGCGUAAGGAAACUGACUGGUGGGAUGGCCUGUGCCUGCACCAUCGACCGACCAUGCGUUUCUGCAAAAGGUUUGAGUGCGAGCAUACCUGUUGGGACCCGAAAGAUGGUGAACUAUGCCUGAGCAGGGUGAAGCCAGGUGAAAACCUGGUGGAGGCUCGUAGAUGUGCUGACGUGCAAAUCGCUUUUCGGACUUGGGUAUAGGGGCGAAAGACUAAUCGAACCAUCUAGUAGCUGGUUUCCUC
This 1544-nucleotide unclassified non-coding RNA is filed under the name uncultured Sphaeropleales. RNAcentral's name for it is "sequence contains 18S rRNA gene, ITS1, 5.8S rRNA gene, ITS2, 28S rRNA gene". The stretch from base 620 to 1544 matches the Rfam family "Eukaryotic large subunit ribosomal RNA", at positions 1 to 961 of the family's 3401-position model. Lineage: Eukaryota; Viridiplantae; Chlorophyta; Chlorophyceae; Sphaeropleales. The record is from RNAcentral.